RNAcentral lists this transfer RNA (74 nucleotides) under Microbacterium phage Zooman. Its description in RNAcentral is "tRNA-Ala". It matches the Rfam family "tRNA". From Rfam's summary of the family: Transfer RNA (tRNA) molecules are approximately 80 nucleotides in length. Their secondary structure includes four short double-helical elements and three loops (D, anti-codon, and T loops). The record is from RNAcentral. Lineage: Duplodnaviria; Heunggongvirae; Uroviricota; Caudoviricetes.
GGGGUCUUAGCUCAGUUGGUAGAGCGCCUGCUUUGCAAGCAGGAUGUCAGGGGUUCGAGUCCCCUAUUCUCCAC